Phrynosoma platyrhinos (Desert horned lizard) is the source of this 73-nucleotide non-coding RNA. The record is from the annotation of a GenBank genome assembly. NCBI's taxonomy places the organism in Eukaryota, Metazoa, Chordata, Lepidosauria, Squamata, Phrynosomatidae.
GCCAGCGUGGUACAAUGGUUUGAAUGUUGGACUGUGACUCUGGAGAGACCAGGGUUCGAUUCCCUGUUUGGCC